UGAAUUUGCUCUCUAAGUUGUUGUGUUUAACACUUCAUACCUGAGAGUAUUCGGAUUCAAACCUUCCGUUCUUGGACCCUUUUUUAUGGUCAAUGCGAAGUGCCGUUUAAUAUCCGUAAUCUGUAGCAUUGUUUGGUUGGUACACAAGGACUACUAAGCAAUCUCAGGAGCUGUCUCUUAGGAUGAUGAUCGUGACACUAGGGCGGACCUGUGCCUUAGAGACUUAAAAUAAAGAUAGAACUAGUUUAAUUAUGUUCUGAACUCUUUAUUUCCUGUUUU
Molecule: long non-coding RNA, 279 nt
Filed under: Helianthus annuus (common sunflower)
Lineage: Eukaryota; Viridiplantae; Streptophyta; Magnoliopsida; Asterales; Asteraceae
Description: sRNA HanXRQr2_Chr06g0270231
Source: RNAcentral